This 376-nucleotide ribosomal RNA is filed under the name Cerebratulus sp. 743 MLS-2006. RNAcentral describes it as "partial 16S ribosomal RNA". It matches the Rfam family "Archaeal large subunit ribosomal RNA", at positions 2029 to 2605 of the family's 2987-position model. The record is from RNAcentral. Lineage: Eukaryota; Metazoa; Nemertea; Pilidiophora; Heteronemertea; Lineidae.
AAAGGUAGCAUAAUCAUUUGUCCUUUCAUUGAGGACUGGUAUGAACGAAAGGUUGAAAUUUUGGUUGUCUCCUUUAUUGUGUUGGAAUUUGCUGUUUUUGUGAAGAAGCAAGAGUUGAUAAAAAAGGACAAGAAGACCCUAUUAAGCUUUAUUUUUGGUGUGUGUUGAUUUUGAGUUAGGGGCUAAUAUCAAGGCUUUCUAAGAGAAUUUGGUUGGGGUGACUAAAGAAGCGUUAUUAUCUUCUUUGUUGUUUUUAACACUUAGUUUAAUGAAGAACCAGGGGUUUUGGUUGUAAGAAUUAGUUACUAUAGGGAUAACAGCGUAAUCUUUUCAUAAAGUUCUUAUUGAAGAAAGGGUUUGCGACCUCGAUGUUGAC